ACCGCUUGAUCCUGGCGGACCCAACUGCUAUCGGGAUGAGACUAAGCCAUGCGAGUCGUGCGUUUCCUAGCCACGUUGGAGACGCGGCAUACGGCUCAAUAUCAUGUGGCUAACUUAGCCUUGGGACGGAGACACCCUCGGGAAACUGAGGUCAAUUUCUGAUAGAUGGGGAGGCCUGGAAUGGUUCCCCGUCCAAAAGGAACUGAGAACAUGCUUUCAGUUUCGCCCAAGGAUAGGGCCGCACCCGAUCAGGUCGCUGGUGAGGUAAUGGCUCACCAAGCCUAUAACCGGUACGGGCCGUGAGAGCGGGAGCCCGGAGAUGGGCACUGAGAUAAGGGCCCAGGCCCUACGGGGCGCAGCAGGCGCGAAAACUCCGCAAUGCGCGAAAGCGCGACGGGGUCAUCCCGAGUGCCGUCCGCUGAGGGCGGCUUUUGCCUGGUUUAACCAGCCGAGUGAAUAAGGGGAGGGCAAGUCUGGUGUCAGCCGCCGCGGUAAUACCAGCUCCUCGAGUGGUUGGGACGAUUAUUGGGUCUAAAGCGUCCGUAGCCGGCCGGAAAAGUUUUCCGUUAAAUCCAACGAUCCAAUCGUUGGGCCGCGGGGAAUACUCUUCGGCUUGGGGGCGAGGGAGGUCGGCGGUAGUCUCGGGGUAGGGGCGAAAUCCUAUAAUCCCGAGAGGACCACCAGUGGCGAAGGCGGCCGACUAAAGCGCACCCGACGGUGAGGGACGAAAGCUGGGGGAGCGAACGGGAUUAGAUACCCCGGUAGUCCCAGCUGUAAACGAUGCUGGCUAGGUGUUGGGACGGCCACGAGCUGUCCCAGUGCCGCAGGGAAGCCAUUAAGCCAGCCACCUGGGGAGUACGGUCGCAAGGCUGAAACUUAAAGGAAUUGGCGGGGGAGCACCACAAGGGGUGAAGCUUGCGGUUUAAUUGGAGCCAACACCGGGAAACUUACCAGGAGCGACGGUUGGAUGAAGGUCAGAUUAAAGGUCUUACCGGACUAGCUGAGAGGAGGUGCAUGGCCGUCGCCAGUUCGUGCCGUGAGGUGUUCUCUUAAGUGAGACAACGAACGAGACCCGCACCCUUAGUUGCCAUCGGAUUCCCUCGGGAUUCCAGGCACACUAAGAGGACUGCCCACGCUAAGUGGGAGGAAGGAACGGGCCACGGCAGGUCAGUAUGCCCCAGAUCUCCUGGGCCACACGCGAGCUGCAAUGGAUGGGACAAUGGGAUCCGACCUCGAAAGGGGAAGGCAAUCCUCAAACCCAUCCUCAGUUGGGAUCGAGGGCUGUAACCCGCCCUCGUGAACAUGGAAUCCCUAGUAAUCGCGUGUCAUCAUCGCGCGGUGAAUACGUCCCUGCUCCUUGCACACACCGCCCGUCGCUCCACCCGAGUUUGGUUCUGGUGAGGCGCGGCCAAUCUUGGCCGCGUCGAGCCGGAGUUAGGCAAGGGGGGAGAAGUCGUAACAAGGUG
RNAcentral lists this ribosomal RNA (1466 nucleotides) under metagenome. RNAcentral describes it as "bacterial SSU rRNA". It matches the Rfam family "Archaeal small subunit ribosomal RNA". The record is from RNAcentral.